AAGCUUUCUGCCAGUGCCUGAAGGCAGGGCACCAUCUUGUGGCAUGAAAGGAGUUUGUCUGCAUGUCUGUAGAAGAGCAGUCCCGAUUUUUCUCCGCUAGGUAGAGCCUGGUAGUUUCUGACCUUUUUUUCUUGCAGCCCUGCUUGUCUUCCGGGGCUUUAACGCCCUCCGCGACUUUCCCUACCUGCCCCCAGUACUUGUUUCUCCCCAAGUGCUGAGACCACCGCUUGCAGUGAGGCUUGCGUUGACAAACUUGGCCAGCUCCGUGUUGUUCUCGUACUGGGAGGGUUACAGAGCUGCACAUGGAAUUGCCCCAGGACAGGGUCUGUUAGGCCCUCAGCCUGGUUUUGAGCUGCU
This 357-nucleotide long non-coding RNA is filed under the name Struthio camelus australis. RNAcentral's name for it is "lncRNA (ENSSCUG00000005987.1)". Lineage: Eukaryota; Metazoa; Chordata; Aves; Struthioniformes; Struthionidae. The record is from RNAcentral.